AGUGAACGCUGGCGGUAGGCCUAACACAUGCAAGUCGAACGGCAGCACAGUAAGAGCUUGCUCUUACGGGUGGCGAGUGGCGGACGGGUGACGAAUACAUCGUAAUCUACUUUUUCGUGGGGGAUAACGUAGGUAAACUUACUCUAAUACCGCAUACGACCUACGGGUGAAAGCAGUGGAUCUUCUGGCCUUGCGCGAUUGAAUGAGCCGAUGUGGGAUUAGCUGGUUGGCUGGGUAAAGGCCCACCAAGUCGACGAUCCGUAGCUGGUCUGAGUGAAUGGUAGGCCACCCUGGAACGGGAACACGGACAAGACGCCUGAGGGAGGCAGCAGUGGGGAAUAUGGGACAAUGGGCGGAAGCAUGAUCCAGCCAGACCGCGUGUGUGAAGAAGGCCUUCGGGUUGUAAAGCCGGUUUGUUGGGAAAGAAAAGCAGCAGGUUAAUACCAAGCUGUUGUGACGGUACCCAAAGAAGAAGCACCGGCUAACUUCGUG
RNAcentral lists this ribosomal RNA (492 nucleotides) under uncultured bacterium. Its description in RNAcentral is "partial 16S ribosomal RNA". It matches the Rfam family "Bacterial small subunit ribosomal RNA", at positions 29 to 507 of the family's 1533-position model. The record is from RNAcentral.